Non-coding RNA from Mus caroli (Ryukyu mouse), 1376 nucleotides. The record is from RefSeq and is a predicted model, not a curated record. NCBI's taxonomy places the organism in Eukaryota, Metazoa, Chordata, Mammalia, Rodentia, Muridae.
GAAGCCAGUUCCCCAGCGGGCCAUCGCCCUGAGGCCACCCAGUCGACCAGAGGCGCAGGGCCAGCCUGACAUAGUCAGGUUUGGAACCCACCAUGAAUCCUGCAUCUGCCAGGCGUGAGUCCAGCGGGGAUGGGUCCAGGCGUGAGUCCAGACGCUCAACUUCACGACCUCGAGUGUUGGAUGCUUCCUCACCUUCGGAUUCACAGGUGUAUGUUGCCUCUGCUCCACCUCACCAGGGACCUUCAGUACCCGGGACACCAACCAGCCAGGGACCUUCAGUACCCGGGACACCAGCCAGCCAGGGACCUUCAGUACCCGGUACACCAUCCCGCCAGCAAUCUUUUAUACAUGCCAUCCCAUCCCACCAGCAAUCUUUUAUAAGUGCUAUACCAUCCAGGCAGCGACCUUCAGUACAAGCCAUACCAUUCAGGCAGCGACCUUCAGUACGUGCCACACCAUCCAGUCAGAGACCUUCAGUACGUGCCACACCGUUCAGUCAGCGACCUUCAGUACGUGCCACACCAUCCAGUCAGAGACCUUCAGUACGUGCCACACCAUCCAGCCAGCGACCCUUAGUUCGCGGUACAUCAUCCACUAGGUCCUUGCAGUCAGUGCACAGAGAUCGCAUUGCCGACAGAUUACCAAAGAAAUACACCCAACAAGAGAAAGUGCCACCAACUCGACUGGUCCAAGGGUCUGAGAAAAUUAAGAUACCUGAAGCCGUCAAAACACAGGCUGAGGGCCAGGACAGGCGCUCAAAAAGAUUCAGAGAUAGCUUCUGGCACUUUUGCUGCUCAGCCAAUGGGAUAUUGAAGUUCUUGAGGAUGUGUAUUACGGCAACAUCCAUGUUUUGUUUCAUCAUUGGUGGUGCCCAGGAGCUGUUUGUAGUCAUCAUGAUUCAGGAAACCUGCAUCGUCCUAUUUUUCAUCAUAAUCUAUUUGGCAACCCUCCAAACCACGAUGGCCUGUAUCCACUGGCCUCUGCUUGAUAUGAUCAACUCUGCCAUUUCAACGGUAUUUCUUGGAAUAGUUGGUCUACUAGUCAUUGGGAAAAAAAAUACAAAGGAUCUAUGCUAUGCUGGAGGGAUCCUGUGCCUCUCGGCAGCAGUCCUGUGUGUCAUCGAUGCAUUGCUGUUUACUGAGAAGAGGAGGAACAAAGCGAAAAGUUCCCUGGCGAAGGAAACUAAGCCCUCUGCCACCCAACUGAGGCAGAAGCAGCACUGAAGUCACCCAGCCCUCCGCAGCAUUUGGCGGAGACUCAAGAUCAUAUCUACAUGUAUAAUCACUCCCACCAGGCCAUCACGGAGCUCCCAUGCCCACGGCUGCAUGGUCUCUGCACUAGACUACUUUGAAUCAAUGCGCCCACAUCCCGUCCUG